GUAGGCCUUACCAUGCAAGUUCGUACGAAAAUUCUAACUCAAGUGGCGGACGGGUGAGUAACACGUAAGAAUUUGCCUUUAGGAGGGGGACAACAAUCGGAAACGGCUGCUAAUACCCCAUAUGCUUUCGAGUGAAAUGGAUUUUCCGCCUAGAGAGAAGCUUGCGGCUGAUUAGCUUGUUGGUAGAGUAAUAGCCUACCAAGGCGACGAUCAGUAUCUGGUUUGAGAGGACGAUCAGACACACUGGAACUGAGACACGGUCCAGACUCUUACGGGAGGCAGCAGUAGGGAAUUUUCCGCAAUGGGCGAAAGCCUGACGGAGCAAUACCGCGUGAGGGAUGACUGCCUAUGGGUUGUAAACCUCUUUUUUCAGGGAGGAAUAAAUGACGUGUACCUGAAGAAUAAGCAUCGGCUAACUCCGUGCCAGCAGCCGCGGUAAGACGGAGGAUGCGAGUGUUAUCCGGAAUCACUGGGCGUAAAGCGUCUGUAGGUGGUCAAAUAAGUCAACUGUUAAAUCUUGAGGCUCAACCUCAAAAUCGCAGUCGAAACUAUUAGACUAGAGUAUAGUAGAGGUAAAGGGAAUUUCCAGUGGAGCGGUGAAAUGCGUAGAGAUUGGAAAGAACACCGAUGGCGAAGGCACUUUACUGGGCUAUUACUGACACUCAGAGACGAAAGCUAGGGUAGCAAAUGGGAUUAGAUACCCCAGUAGUCCUAGCCGUAAACAAUGGAUACUAGGUGUUGAACAGAUCGACCUGU
This 756-nucleotide ribosomal RNA is filed under the name uncultured bacterium. RNAcentral describes it as "bacterial SSU rRNA". It matches the Rfam family "Bacterial small subunit ribosomal RNA", at positions 42 to 839 of the family's 1533-position model. The record is from RNAcentral.